RNAcentral lists this ribosomal RNA (3093 nucleotides) under Ambystoma mexicanum (axolotl). RNAcentral describes it as "eukaryotic LSU rRNA". The stretch from base 2118 to 3093 matches the Rfam family "Eukaryotic large subunit ribosomal RNA", at positions 2391 to 3385 of the family's 3401-position model. Lineage: Eukaryota; Metazoa; Chordata; Amphibia; Caudata; Ambystomatidae. The record is from RNAcentral.
UUCUUACAACCUGAUUCACAGAACGUUUUGCGCGGUGCAAAAGGAAUAAGUACACUUUGCGCUGCGCAAAGCCAAAGUUGCUAAUUCAUGGAUCAGAUUUUACGCAGGUCUGCAACUACUUUGCAUUGGUCCUUACCUAGUUUGUACUCUGCAAAGUGUAGGAAUGGCCAGCGCAAAGUAAUACAUAGGGGGCAGAACAUGCAUAUUCUUCAUUCUGUGCAAAAUGAGAAAGAACGAGGAAUAACGUGGGCGUGUUGAGGGACGCACCGCGCAAACAACCAUGCCUCCUCAAGCGUAAAGACAAACUUAUUUAUGGAUUUCGUCAUGCAAACUACAGGAGACAAAGGAGGACACAAAUCUCACGUACUCACCGCCACGUGAUAACUGUCUCAAAGAAAGCCCAACUAUAAAAACGCAACACAACGUUAAGAAGUGGUCGUGUGUGCCUAAUUUUGAUUUCUAAAGAAGCUUUGUACUGUAUUCUUUACUUUAACACAGCAUACCUUUCAUUUUUAAGAAGUUAAAGUGCAAAUACUAUUGAAGAAGAGAACAGGCAUUGCCCAAGGCAAGAGCCUCCCCAUUUUAACAGUGAAACCAACCUUUCUCAAAGUGCAAAAGCAAUCUAACUGUACUGUGAAGUUAAUUGGCCUAAGAUAUGAGUGUGCAAACAUUACCUGAAGCUAGAAGAGGUGGCACCACGGCUUCUGGGUAACGACUUGUGAUGAUCACUGGCAGAAAGGUGUAAGUAAGGUUGGGGAAGGGAAACUGGCUGCUUGUAAAUACUAUUUUGAAGUUGACACAACCUGCAGUGCCAGAGACUGUACAAGACAGAAAAAAGUGAGUCUUAAAGCCAAACCCAGGUUGCUCUUGUGGCUGAUAGACAGGAGAGGCAAAGAGGCUGAACCUUUUUGAAGAGAGUUAUUCAGAGGAAGAGUGCCCUGCCUACUUGAAGUUGUUGAAGUACUUUAAAGAAUGUCUUGUUGAAGCCUAUCUAGAAAUACAACCAUGAAGCUGUCGUAGUAGCCCAAAGUACUGAAGAUGAGGUGGUAUAUCUAAGUGUCAGUAGCUGCAACAUUGUAGUAUUCUAGACAAAGUAGAGUGCUGUGUGACAAAGGUGACUGUAUCAAGUAGAAGUGAAGUUGUUGAAGUGGAAGCAGCAGCACUAAGAAGUCAUCCUGACAAAUAUAUCAUUGUGAAUUCUAAAACUGUAACCACGAACUGUACAUUACUGGCAGUUGAGGAUAUUUCAUUUCUUUUUGAAUGUGGCAAGUCUUCCAGUUGACAAAGCAUUGGGGCCGGGAUUACCACUGAUGCUAUUUGGUGGAAGCCGAUAGUGGAUAUUUCACCAAGGAGAAAAGGUUUGCAAUCAUUGGAAGUUUGGUUAACAAACUUUUACAUUGACUUUGAAAUAUCAAGAACCGAUUGGAAACAUUUCUUUCUUUGGUUGAACCCUAACAGAACUGGCCUUGAAUCUUGAGAAAGGGAAAUCAUCCCGGACAGUAGACAGUUAUUCAGACAUAGUGGAUGUUGUUCAUGCAAUGGUGUAGUGUCAAAUAUUUUCUUUGUGUAUUUGUUGCUAAGUGUGAGGGCCAGUUAUCCUUUGUUUCCCCUUAGCCUUGGUUAGGCAGGGAAAUCCUCAGCAGAUUAGGGAUAGUGAGGUAUUUUGAAUAUUUUCUUUCAGAAUAAAAUGGCAUAUGUUGAUAAAUCAUCAAACAGCUGUCUGCCUCGUGUUAGUGUCCCCUCACACCUUCCUGUGACUUACUGUUGACAGUGUGUAAGAGUACUGUCUGCGCUCCACUUGGUUCUCGCUGACAUACCCAGGCUCUGCACAUCUAUCAGAUGGCCAAGGGCUAUGCCCCACACAAUGUGCCAGGUGCACUUUGUCUGCUGUGGGCACUCUUCUGAGUGGCUGAGUCCUAUUCUGGCACAGCAGGGUGCCUGGCUGACAGAAGAAACUGAGAAGACUUGCACCUCAAUGGCAGGGCAGCCUGUCCAUCUGGCUCCCUGCAAUCCACUGGUUCAUUUGGCGCACUUGGUCCAUCCUGGACUUUGUGAUAGGUAAUGUCUUCAGCAUGUCCGCUCAGGGAGUGCCCCCUUAGAUGGAUGUGUCUCCCCUCCAAGCAGUGCAAAGGCCAAGCAUCCCAGCAGCUCCCCGGCAGUCAGAUCAAAGUGGAAUGGAGAUCAGCUGGCUACAGGUCCAGGCUGUAGGUGAAAGACCACUGCUCAAAUUGUUUAUUUCACUUACCUGGUGAGGUGGCUGGCACGGCCUGUGGAGCUCUCACUUCUGGCUGUAAGCACCCGGCACCCACUGGGGGUGACCUGCUCAAGGGGUAGUGGCAAUUGGGGAGAAUUACUGGGGCGGUACACCUGUCAAAUGAUAAUGCAGGUAUCUUAAGGGAAUCUCAGGGAGGACAGAAUCCCCAAGCAGAGCAGAAGGGCAAAAGCUCACUUGAUCUCGAUUUACUGUAUGAAUACAAUCCACGAGAGCAGGGAUUAAAGCUCCUUCUGACAUGUUGGGUUUCAAGCAGGAGGUGUCUGAGAAGUUACCUCAGGGAUAAAAGGCUUGUGGUUGCCAAACAUUCAUAGUGACACCACAUUUUCAUCCUUCAAUUUCAGCUCUUCCUAUAAUUGUGAAGCAGUAUUCACCAAGAGUUGGUUUGUUCACACACUAAUAGGGAACGUGAGCUGGAUUUACACUGUAAUGACAACAUUUGGUUUUUACCUACUGAUGAUGUGCUAUUGCAAUGGUAAUCCUGUUCAGUACAAGAGGAACCGCAGGUUCAGACAUUGGUGUAUGUGCUUGAGUGUGGAGCCAAUGGGGAGUAGCUACCAUCUGUGGGAUUGUGAGUGAACGCCUCUAAGUAAGAAUCCCACCGAACAGUAUUGAUUCUAAUGUGCUGUGGAGCCUAGGUUGUAGAGCUGCUUGCCUCGGGACUCCAUUGUGGACAGAGGGGGCCACCUCUCUCGCCCGUAGUGUACCGUAUGUUCAUGGGGAACCUGGUGAGAAAUCAUUAAUAGACUAACUGACUCUGGGUCAGGGUUUUGUAAGUAGCAGAGCAGCUUCCUCGCUGCGAUCUACUGGAAGUCAUCCCU